This is a non-coding RNA of Podarcis lilfordi (Lilford's wall lizard), 72 nucleotides long. NCBI's taxonomy places the organism in Eukaryota, Metazoa, Chordata, Lepidosauria, Squamata, Lacertidae. The record is from the annotation of a GenBank genome assembly.
AGGGCUGUGGCUAAGUGGUAGAGCAUCUGCCUUGCAUGCAAGAGGUCCCCAGUUCAAUCCUUGGCAUCUCUA